Molecule: ribosomal RNA, 491 nt
Filed under: uncultured bacterium
Lineage: Bacteria
Description: partial 16S ribosomal RNA
Rfam family: Bacterial small subunit ribosomal RNA
Source: RNAcentral
GAUGAACGCUAGCUACAGGCUUAACACAUGCAAGUCGCGGGGCAGCAUGGGGGUUGCUUGCAACCCCUGAUGGCGACCGGCGCACGGGUGAGUAACGCGUAUCCAACCUGCCCUUCACCACGGGAUAACCCGGCGAAAGUCGGACUAAUACCGUAUGUUGUCCAUUGACGGCAUCCGAUUUUGACGAAAUGCUUGGCGGGGAGAGGAUGGGGAUGCGUCCGAUUAGCUUGAUGGCGGGGUAACGGCCCACCGUGGCCACGAUCGGUAGGGGUUCUGAGCGGAAGGUCCCCCACACUGGAACUGGGACACGGUCCAGACUCCUACGGGAGGCAGCAGUGAGGAAUAUUGGUCAAUGGGCGUAAGCCUGAUCCAGCCAAGUAGCGUGCAGGAUGACGGCGCUAUGGGUGGUAAACUGCUUUUAUGCGGGGAUAAAGUGGCCCGCGUGUGGGAUUUUGCAGGUACCGCAUGAAUAAGGACCGGCUAAUUCCGUG